UACGUAGGUGGCAAGCGUUGUCCGGAUUUAUUGGGUUUAAAGGGUGCGUAGGCGGCCCUGUAAGUCUGUGCUGAAAUAUCCCAGCUUAACUGGGAGGGUGGCAUUGAUACUGCGGGGCUAGAGUACAGAUGAGGUAGGCGGAAUUGACGGUGUAGCGGUGAAAUGCUUAGAUAUCGUCAAGAACACCUAUAGCGAAGGCAGCUUACUAGGCUGUAACUGACGCUGAGGCACGAAAGUGUGGGGAUCAAACAGG
RNAcentral lists this ribosomal RNA (253 nucleotides) under uncultured bacterium. Its description in RNAcentral is "partial 16S ribosomal RNA". It matches the Rfam family "Bacterial small subunit ribosomal RNA", at positions 524 to 776 of the family's 1533-position model. The record is from RNAcentral.